RNAcentral lists this ribosomal RNA (253 nucleotides) under uncultured bacterium. RNAcentral describes it as "partial 16S ribosomal RNA". It matches the Rfam family "Bacterial small subunit ribosomal RNA", at positions 524 to 776 of the family's 1533-position model. The record is from RNAcentral.
UACGUAGGGGGCAAGCGUUGUCCGGAUUUAUUGGGCGUAAAGAGCGUGUAGGCGGCCGUACAGGUCAGCUGUGAAAACUCGAGGCUCAACCUCGAGACGUCGGUUGAAACCGUACGGCUAGAGUCCGGAAGAGGAGAGUGGAAUUCCCGGUGUAGCGGUGAAAUGCGCAGAUAUCGGGAAGAACACCCGUGGCGGAGGCGGCUCUCUGGGACGGUACUGACGCUGAGACGCGAAAGCGUGGGGAGCGAACAGG